RNAcentral lists this ribosomal RNA (435 nucleotides) under uncultured bacterium. Its description in RNAcentral is "partial 16S ribosomal RNA". It matches the Rfam family "Bacterial small subunit ribosomal RNA", at positions 29 to 507 of the family's 1533-position model. The record is from RNAcentral.
AGCGAACGCUGGCGGCAGGCUUAACACAUGCAAGUCGAGCGGGCACUUUCGGGUGUCCGCGGCGGACGGGUGAGUAACGCGUGGGAACGUGCCCUCUGGUUCGGAAUAACUCAGGGAAACUUGAGCUAAUACCGGAUACGCCCUUUUGGGGAAAGGCUUGCUGCCGGAGGAUCGGCCCGCGUCUGAUUAGCUAGUUGGUGAGGUAACGGCUCACCAAGGCGACGAUCAGUAGCUGGCCUGAGAGGAUGAUCAGCCACACUGGGACUGAGACACGGCCCAGACUCCUACGGGAGGCAGCAGUGGGGAAUAUUGGACAAUGGGCGCAAGCCUGAUCCAGCCAUGCCGCGUGAGUGAUGAAGGCCUUAGGGUUGUAAAGCUCUUUUAUCCGGGACGAUAAUGACGGUACCGGAGGAAUAAGCCCCGGCUAACUUCGUG